This is a non-coding RNA of Acanthosepion pharaonis, 97 nucleotides long. The record is from the annotation of a GenBank genome assembly. Lineage: Eukaryota; Metazoa; Mollusca; Cephalopoda; Sepiida; Sepiidae.
CGUUAAAACACCAGUUCUCGUAUGAUCACUGAAGUUAAGCAUCAUCGAGCCUGGUCAGUACCGAGAUGGGUGACUGCUUCAGGGUACCGGAUACUGU